Molecule: ribosomal RNA, 644 nt
Filed under: uncultured fungus
Lineage: Eukaryota; Fungi
Description: eukaryotic LSU rRNA
Rfam family: Eukaryotic large subunit ribosomal RNA
Source: RNAcentral
GAUCAGCUCAUGCCNUUAUUCUAGGCGUCAUCGGCGUCUCGAAUUGUAGCCUAUGGUCCGGUCAUCCGNCUACAGAAGCCUCGCGGGUACAAGUCCCGUUGAAUCGUGGCAUCACAGAGGGUGCAAGUCCCGUCUCUGAUCCCGCGAGCGCUUCCGGUGUGUUGGCCGAGUCUUUGAGUCAGGUUGUUUGNGAAUGCAGCCUAAAACGGGUGGUAAAUUCCAUCCAAAGCUAAAUAUUGGCAAGAGACCGAUAGCGAACAAGUACCGUGAGGGAAAGAUGAAAAGCACUUUGAAAAGAGAGUGAAACAGCGCGUGAAAUUGUUGAAAGGGAAACGCUUAAAGUCAAGCUUCUAGCAGUUUGGUGGCGCAAGCCAGCGGCUGCUAGUGGUCAACAGCAGUUUGCCGGGGAGUAGAAGGAUGCGGGGAAGGUGGCUGGCCAGCUUGCUGGGCAGUGUUAUAGCCCCGCAAUCGCAUACCUCCUGGUGGACUGAGGAACGCGGCCCGCAGCAAUGAAGACGACGCGUCGCGACUGUGCCUGGCGGCGGUCAGACUAUCUGAUAGACUGGCUGUGCGCAGAGUGUGUGCAGGCGAUGGCGCGCGUACUAACCGGGCCUAGGUUGUUGGCGAAAAGGCUUUAAACGACC